UUUUAUCCACUUUGGAAGCCCACAAGUUUUACAAUACAUUAUAUAUAAUUGAAUAGGUUUUGGAUACUUCUUGGCCAAACAACCCAAAAAAAAAAACAGUAGUCUCUGUUACAAUUGAAAUAACACAAACUGAAACAGAAGUUACUACCAGUGAAGAUGCCAAAAGGAAAAGGAGCAAAAAGUGAGAAAUAUUGAGAGGAUCAAGCUUUCUUAAUUUGUUUGUUGUAGCAAGUCCAUUCAUACUCUGGUAGUAGGUACCGGCAUAGUGGUAAAAUGUUUGGUUACUCUCUGGUACUAUUGGGCUUUCUACAUAGUGGUAAAAUGUACACAUAGCAGAACCCGGUCAGUAUAAGAUCUAUAUAAAUAUUUGUUUGUUAUAAAAUAACCUGGGAUAUGUGCGAAUUUUGAGCUGUACGUAAAGUAGAUGAGACACAGCAUUUAACGAGGUUCGGCUAUGCCUACGUCCUCGGAGAGCAGCAGCAGUAACUUUUUCACUAUAUAAAAUAAUAGGGCUACAACUUUAGAGUUUACAAUAUGUGAGGCUCACUGAAUUUUCUCUCUCUUUCCUCUUCUCUCUUUCCUCCUCUCUUUCCUCUUCUUUCCUCUUCUCUCUUUCCUUUCUUCUUUUCUCCGUUGGUC
Molecule: long non-coding RNA, 639 nt
Filed under: Prunus dulcis (almond)
Lineage: Eukaryota; Viridiplantae; Streptophyta; Magnoliopsida; Rosales; Rosaceae
Description: sRNA ncRNA
Source: RNAcentral